This 504-nucleotide ribosomal RNA is filed under the name uncultured bacterium. Its description in RNAcentral is "partial 16S ribosomal RNA". It matches the Rfam family "Bacterial small subunit ribosomal RNA", at positions 30 to 523 of the family's 1533-position model. The record is from RNAcentral.
AUUGAACGCUGGCGGCAUGCCUUACACAUGCAAGUCGAACGGCAGCAUGGAGAGCUUGCUCUCUGAUGGCGAGUGGCGAACGGGUGAGUAAUGCAUCGGAACGUACCGUGUAAUGGGGGAUAACGUAGCGAAAGUUACGCUAAUACCGCAUACGACCUGAGGGUGAAAGCAGGGGAUCGCAAGACCUUGCGUUAUACGAGCGGACGAUGUCAGAUUAGCUAGUUGGUGAGGUAAAGGCUCACCAAGGCGACGAUCCGGAGCGGGUCUGAGAGGCUGAGCCGCCACACUGGGACUGAGACACGGCCCAGACUCCCACGUGAGGCAGCGGUGGGGAAUUUUGGACAAUGGGGGCAACCCUGAUCCAGCCAUGCCGCGUGAGUGAAGAAGGCCUUCGGGUUGUAAAGCUCUUUCGGCCGGGAAGAAAUCGCACAGGCUAAUACUCUGUGUGGAUUACGGUACCGGCAUAAGAAGCACCGGCUAACUACGUGCCAGCAGCCGCAGUAA